RNAcentral lists this non-coding RNA (206 nucleotides) under Pseudomonas entomophila. The record is from RNAcentral. Lineage: Bacteria; Pseudomonadati; Pseudomonadota; Gammaproteobacteria; Pseudomonadales; Pseudomonadaceae.
GAUGCGCCCCUUGUUUCAGGUGUCCCUGGCCGCCGUGCCAGGGGUUAAACGGGAAGCCGGUGCCUCGCUCCACGCGAGAAGUCCGGCGCUGCCCCCGCAACGGUAAGCGAGCAAGGCAUUCGACAGACCACUGUGCCGCCGGCAUGGGAAGGUGGAUGCCCGCCCCUCUCGCAAGCCCGGAGACCGGCCUGCAACCUCUGUUUGGC